CCGGCCUACGGGGGGCAGCAGUAGGGAAUUUUCGGCAAUGGGCGAAAGCCUGACCGAGCAAUGCCGCGUGAGUGAAGAAGGCCUUUGGGUUGUAAAGCUCUGUUGUAAAGGAAGAACGGAUGGCAUAGGGAAUGAUGCCAUUGUGACGGUACCUUACGAGGAAGUCACGGCUAACUACGUGCCAGCAGCCGCGGUAAUACGUAGGUGGCGAGCGUUAUCCGGAAUUAUUGGGCGUAAAGGGUGCGCAGGCGGCAAGAAAAGCUUAAGGUGAAAGCGGGGGGCUCAACCCCAUAAAGCCU
This 299-nucleotide ribosomal RNA is filed under the name uncultured bacterium. RNAcentral's name for it is "partial 16S ribosomal RNA". It matches the Rfam family "Bacterial small subunit ribosomal RNA", at positions 335 to 626 of the family's 1533-position model. The record is from RNAcentral.